RNAcentral lists this unclassified non-coding RNA (335 nucleotides) under soil metagenome. RNAcentral describes it as "partial contains 5.8S ribosomal RNA, internal transcribed spacer 2, and large subunit ribosomal RNA". The stretch from base 1 to 120 matches the Rfam family "5.8S ribosomal RNA", at positions 35 to 154 of the family's 154-position model. The record is from RNAcentral.
GAUGAAGAACGCAGCGAAAUGCGAUAAGUAAUGUGAAUUGCAGAAUUCAGUGAAUCAUCGAAUCUUUGAACGCACAUUGCGCCCGCCAGUAUUCUGGCGGGCAUGCCUGUUCGAGCGUCAUUUCAACCAUCAAGCCCCCGGCUUGUGUUGGGGACCUGCGGCUGCCGCAGGCCCUGAAAACCAGUGGCGGGCUCGCUAGUCACUCCGAGCGUAGUAAUACAUCUCGCUCAGGGCGUGCUGCGGGUUCCGGCCGUUAAAAAGCCUUAUUUACCCAAAGUUGACCUCGGAUCAGGUAGGAAGACCCGCUGAACUUAAGCAUAUCAAUAAGCGGAGGA